AGCUUUUCGCAGUGGCGGUAUCGUAGCCAAUGAGGUUUAUCUGAGGUGUGAUUAUUGCUAAUUGAAAACUUUUCCCUGGUGGCUCUGCAAUUGACUAAGAGCGGCAGGACAUUGUCUCCCAGUUCCAUUUUAAACAAAGUUUCCCUUUUUAAUUUUCCCAAGCAGAGGAAGAACU
Zalophus californianus (California sea lion) is the source of this 175-nucleotide small nuclear RNA. Its record names the gene U4. It matches the Rfam family "U4 spliceosomal RNA". Rfam says of the family: U4 small nuclear RNA (U4 snRNA) is a component of the major U2-dependent spliceosome. The structure of U4 snRNA from yeast and human has been reported. U4 snRNA presents a k-turn RNA motif in the 5p-SL related to recognition of Snu13 protein. The record is from Ensembl. Lineage: Eukaryota; Metazoa; Chordata; Mammalia; Carnivora; Otariidae.